GUUAUAGGGUCAAGCAAUGAAGCGCACACGGUGGAUGCCUAGGCAGUCAGAGGCGAUGAAAGACGUGGUAGCCUGCGAUAAGGUUCGGUGAGGUGGCAACAACCUGUGACCCGGACAUCUCUGAAUGGGGAAACCCACUCAUCAUCAGAUGAGUAUCUUACGCUGAAUAUAUAGGCGUAAGAGGCGAACCAGGGGAACUGAAACAUCUAAGUACCCUGAGGAAAAGAAA
Molecule: ribosomal RNA, 229 nt
Filed under: Idiomarina sp. H105
Lineage: Bacteria; Pseudomonadati; Pseudomonadota; Gammaproteobacteria; Alteromonadales; Idiomarinaceae
Also listed under: 1 other name
Description: partial 23S ribosomal RNA
Rfam family: Bacterial large subunit ribosomal RNA
Source: RNAcentral